AAACUUGAUAAUAUUCUUGUCUCCCUGCAAAAUUCAUGUGGCAGAGAACAAGUGCAACACAGUAUGAAUCAGAGAAACUGCACUGCAGUAGACAUCAACAAGCUAUCUGCAGAAGUGUCAAACCACAAGAAAGCAAUGGUGCACAGAAGGUGAAUUGACAAACCUUUCAAAACUGUAUCUAAGUUAACCUGAAAAAUGUAAGUGCCAUUACCUAAAUUUUUAAGAUAAAUCUAAAGCAUAUAUGUCAAAAUUUGGCAGGAAUAGCAACCCUCAGAACUUAAUUGUGAAAUCCUGACCAAACUUUCAAGGGAAAAAAAUGAUGUAAAUUGAUGCAUAACUGAACAAUUAGUACACAAAUUACUUCAAGUGUUCAUCAGUAACAAGGACAAAACUUACAACAUAAGCUUCAAAUAUACGAU
Molecule: unclassified non-coding RNA, 419 nt
Filed under: Hevea brasiliensis (rubber tree)
Lineage: Eukaryota; Viridiplantae; Streptophyta; Magnoliopsida; Malpighiales; Euphorbiaceae
Source: RNAcentral